This 1352-nucleotide long non-coding RNA is filed under the name Cyanistes caeruleus (blue tit). RNAcentral describes it as "lncRNA (ENSCCEG00000022837.1)". The record is from RNAcentral. Lineage: Eukaryota; Metazoa; Chordata; Aves; Passeriformes; Paridae.
AAAGCUCAUUUCCUGAGUUCAACAGGAGGAAAAUCUCCCUUUUUUCCCCAUCUUUUUAUAUUCCCUUUUUUUUUUUUUCUUUUUUUUUUUUUUUGUUUUCCCUUUAAAUUCUCUGGGGUGUCCAGCGGGGUUACUCCGUGCAGGGAGCUCUGCACGCGCUGGGCUUGGCUGGGCUCCGCACAGCAGAGCAGAGCCCCGUGGAGCCCAGCAGAGCCCAGCCAAGCCUGCUAUCUCCCUCGAUCCACUCCUUAUCUCCGGGAGCAGUUGUAGCAAGCAGGGAGCUCCAGCAGAGAAGCUUCCCUCAUCCACUUCCCCCUUCUGUCUGUUUGCCCUGGCAGAAAAGCAGCACUUUAGUAACCAACAGAUAUCCACACCCUUCUUCUUCCGAAGCCCUCUUCAUUUUCCUUGCCUUGAUGCCUCGAUGCACUGUGAGUACAACGCAACCUUGAGAGCAGCCCUGGAAGAAAUCUGAAUGUCCAGUUCUCAAAACAAGAUUUCAGCAUGCGUCACUUCCCUCCUUGGAUUAUUUUGGCCAAGGGUGACAGGAUCGACCAGAAUUCCAGGUUACAGUUCAUUAGUCUGUGACAGCUAGAUUAUUUCUGUCUGCAAGUGGGGCAGUUCUGGUCAUACACAUCAGGAUCUUUUAAACAUUUCCAAGGGUAUUUAUCUUGAUGCAGUUUUUUGUGCCUCUGAACAGGAAUAGAAACGAUUAGACCUGAGCUGUAGGUAUAAUCAACUAGUUAAGAAACUGAAAAUUUAUAAAUUAUAAAUUCUGCCUCCGAUGCAAAAUUUCAGAUGUGCAAAAGAAAAUUCUUUCCAGUUAAGCCUCAGAAAUACACCUUCAGACAGAGCUGUUAGUUCAUACCAUUUGACUUGGGUUUGUGCUAGGCUGGGGAAUCAGAAAAGAAAUGUGCUUUAAAAUCAUCCUGAGUUAGUGAAACAAAUUAUCAAGAGCAUGGAUGGCUAGUCACUGGGAAUGCUUUACUCUGAGAAAUGGUGAGUACUCCAUUGAUGUCAUCAGAUCAAGGCUGGACAUCUUUCAGGAAGGUUUUGUGUCAGAUGAGAAGUUAUUGAGCUCAGCUUGUGAUUAUUUCUACGUCUGAAUUUGGAAUGGUCGACAAGGAACCUGAAAAAGUGAUUACAAAAUAUGAAAGCGGGUUACUGGGGUGCCUUUUUUCAUCUCUCAGUGUAAUGGAAUGAUUCUGGGGAUGAGAAUGAAUUGAGUGUUACCUGAAGUGUGGCUGAGUCAGUACAGCUCUCCACUUGCUCUCAGCGCUGCAUUGACUCAGUAGUGCUGACAGCAGUGAAAAACUCACUUACGGAUUGUCAAUAAAGCAUCAUUUGAAAAUCCA